GGCGGACGGGUGAGUAAUACUUAGGAAUCUGCCCAUUAGUGGGGGACAACAUUCGGAAACGGAUGCUAAUACCGCAUACGCCCUACGGGGGAAAGCGGGGGGAUCUUCGGACCUCGCGCUAAUGGAUGAGCCUAAGUCGGAUUAGCUUGUUGGUGAGGUAAUGGCUCACCAAGGCGACGAUCCGUAGCUGGUCUGAGAGGACGAUCAGCCACACUGGGACUGAGACACGGCCCAG
This 235-nucleotide ribosomal RNA is filed under the name uncultured bacterium. Its description in RNAcentral is "partial 16S ribosomal RNA". It matches the Rfam family "Bacterial small subunit ribosomal RNA", at positions 97 to 334 of the family's 1533-position model. The record is from RNAcentral.